GUCCCGCAACGAGCGCAACCCCUGCUUACAGUAGCCAGCAGCAAGGCUGGGCACUCUGUAAGGACUGCCGGGGAUAACCCGGAGGAAGGCGGGGACGACGUCAAAUCAUCAUGCCCCUUAUGGGCUGGGCUACACACGUGCUACAAUGGCGCCAACAGAGUGAGGCGAACCUGCGAGGGGGAGCAAAGCACAAAAAAGGCGUCCCAGUUCGGAUUACAGCCUGCAACCCGGCUGUAUGAAGCUGGAAUCGCUAGUAAUCGCAGAUCAGAAUGCUGCGGUGAAUACGUUCCCGGGUCUUGUACACACCGCCCGUCACACCAUGGGAGCCAGGAAUGCCCGAAGCCAGUGGCCUAACCGCAAGGGAGGAGCUGUCGAAGGCAGGCCCGGUAACUGGGGUGAAGUCGUAACAAGG
This 412-nucleotide ribosomal RNA is filed under the name uncultured bacterium. RNAcentral describes it as "bacterial SSU rRNA". It matches the Rfam family "Bacterial small subunit ribosomal RNA", at positions 1084 to 1496 of the family's 1533-position model. The record is from RNAcentral.